RNAcentral lists this ribosomal RNA (501 nucleotides) under uncultured bacterium. RNAcentral's name for it is "partial 16S ribosomal RNA". It matches the Rfam family "Bacterial small subunit ribosomal RNA", at positions 30 to 523 of the family's 1533-position model. The record is from RNAcentral.
AUUGAACGCUGGCGGCAGGCUUAACACAUGCAAGUCGAGCGGGGUGAUGGUGCUUGCACUAUCACUUAGCGGCGGACGGGUGAGUAAUGCUUAGGAAUCUGCCUAUUAGUGUGGGGCAACAUAUCGAAAGGGAUGCUAAUACCGCAUACGUCCUACGGGCGAAAGCAGGGGAUCACUUGUUACCUUGCGCUAAUAGAUGGGCCGAAGUCGGAUUAGCUAGUUGGUGGGGUAAAGGCCUACCAAGGAGACAAUCUGUAGCGGGUGUGAGGGGAUAAUCCGCCACACUGGACCUGGGACACGGCCCAGACUCCUACGGGAGGCAGCAGUGGGGAAUCUUGCGCAAUGGGCGAAAGCCUGACGCAGGGACGCCGCGUGAGGGAAGAAGGCUUUCGGGUUGUAAACCUCUUUCAGGAGGGACGAAGCUACUCGGGUGAAUAGCCCAGAGGGUGACGGUACCUCCAGAAGAAGCCCCGGCUAACUACGUGCCAGCAGCCGCCGUAA